AGUGUGAGCAGCGAGCGAAUGAGCAAGAGCGUGUGACAACAGAGGAUGACAGGCUGUGAGGUUCGAAGCAGGAAGGACACACUCCAUAAGUCUCGGCACUGCUCAUCAGCCCAUGUGUCAGCACGCUCUUGCUGAUGGGAGCAGCGGGGAGAAACGCCAUACUGGGAAGUCACUGCUGGUGUGGGACAAGUUACAAGAUGCUUCUGGGGGAGGAAAAUGUGUAUCAUCAACUCCUCAGGGCAGUGAAGCCUGCUCAGUCUAGACUUACAUGAGAGACUACUCAAUGACUCUCACAGAAAAGAGAUCUUCCCAAGGUGACAUUUUCUCCUACUAAGCCAAUAAGGUCAUCUUACUCACAGUCCACUUCCAGGAACUGACCCCAAAUGGACAGAAUCUACUUAUAUCAUGGCACAGCUGUCAACUUCUCUUGCUAAAGAAGAGAAUAACGCUCACAAAAUUGCCCCAGAUGGUGGUGCAACAUUUUUGGGCCAAGUACUACAACUGAAAAGCAUGAACAGAGUUUUACCAGUGGGUUACAGCUCUUGUUUAACCUCUAGAAAACUAGUGACAUGCUCUUGGAGAAGCCCCUCUUACAGAAGGCCAAAGAAGCUGAGAAAGCACAGAGGAAAUAAUCAAGGCUCACCUGGGAAAGCAACACAGCUUCACCAUCAUUCUCUCGUCCCUGAGAAAAUAAAUCAAAACAAACAAGUAUAUUGAGCACUGGGUGUUCAAAACCACAUGAA
Molecule: non-coding RNA, 743 nt
Filed under: Pan troglodytes (chimpanzee)
Lineage: Eukaryota; Metazoa; Chordata; Mammalia; Primates; Hominidae
Source: RNAcentral